AAGCCGCGAACGGGUGAGUAACACGUGGGUAACCUGCCCCGAUGAUUGGGACAACCCGAGGAAACUCGGGCUAAUACCGAAUGUGCCCUCCGGCCUCAAGGCCGCUGGGGAAAGGAAGCUUCGGCCUCCGCAUCGGGAUGGGCCCGCGGCCCAUUAGCUUGUUGGUGAGGUAACGGCUCACCAAGGCGACGAUGGGUAGCUGGUCUGAGAGGACGAUCAGCCACACUGGGACUGAGACACGGCCCAGACUCCUACGGGAGGCAGCAGUGGGGAAUCUUGCGCAAUGCGCGAAAGCGUGACGCAGCAACGCCGCGUGGGGGAAGACGGCCUUCGGGUUGUAAACCCCUUUCAGUUGGGACGAAGCUUCGCCGGUGAAUAGCCGGCUGGAGUGACGGUACCUUCAGAAGAAGCCCCGGCUAACUACGUGCCAGCAGCCGCGGUAAUACGUAGGGGGCAAGCGUUGUCCGGAAUCAUUGGGCGUAAAGAGCGUGUAGGCGGCUCGGUAAGUCCGCUGUGAAAGUCCAGGGCUCAACCCUGGAAUGCCGGUGGAAACUGUCGGGCUAGAGUCCGGAAGAGGCGAGUGGAAUUCCUGGUGUAGCGGUGAAAUGCGCAGAUAUCAGGAGGAACACCAAUGGCGAAGGCAGCUCGCUGGGACGGUAC
RNAcentral lists this ribosomal RNA (660 nucleotides) under uncultured bacterium. RNAcentral describes it as "bacterial SSU rRNA". It matches the Rfam family "Bacterial small subunit ribosomal RNA", at positions 93 to 740 of the family's 1533-position model. The record is from RNAcentral.